Molecule: ribosomal RNA, 380 nt
Filed under: uncultured bacterium
Lineage: Bacteria
Description: bacterial SSU rRNA
Rfam family: Bacterial small subunit ribosomal RNA
Source: RNAcentral
AUUGAACGCUGGCGGCAGGCCUAACACAUGCAAGUCGAGCGGAUGAGUGGAGCUUGCUCCAUGAUUCAGCGGCGGACGGGUGAGUAAUGCCUAGGAAUCUGCCUGGUAGUGGGGGACAACGUUUCGAAAGGAACGCUAAUACCGCAUACGUCCUACGGGAGAAAGCAGGGGGACCUUCGGGCCUUGCGCUAUCAGAUGAGCCUAGGUCGGAUUAGCUAGUAGGUGAGGUAAUGGCUCACCUAGGCGACGAUCCGUAACUGGUCUGAGAGGAUGAUCAGUCACACUGGAACUGAGACACGGUCCAGACUCCUACGGGAGGCAGCAGUGGGGAAUAUUGGACAAUGGGCGAAAGCCUGAUCCAGCCAUGCCGCGUGUGUGAA